UACGAAGGGGACUAGCGUUGUUCGGAAUCACUGGGCGUAAAGCGCACGUAGGCGGAUUUGUAAGUCAGGGGUGAAAUCCCGGGGCUCAACCUCGGAACUGCCUUUGAUACUGCAAGUCUUGAGUCCGGAAGAGGUGAGUGGAAUUCCUAGUGUAGAGGUGAGAUUCGUAGAUAUUAGGAAGAACACCAGUGGCGAAGGCGGCUCACUGGUCCGGUACUGACGCUGAGGUGCGAAAGCGUGGGGAGCAAACAGG
RNAcentral lists this ribosomal RNA (253 nucleotides) under uncultured bacterium. Its description in RNAcentral is "partial 16S ribosomal RNA". It matches the Rfam family "Bacterial small subunit ribosomal RNA", at positions 524 to 776 of the family's 1533-position model. The record is from RNAcentral.